This 374-nucleotide ribosomal RNA is filed under the name uncultured eukaryote. Its description in RNAcentral is "partial 18S ribosomal RNA". It matches the Rfam family "Eukaryotic small subunit ribosomal RNA", at positions 592 to 976 of the family's 1831-position model. The record is from RNAcentral.
CAAUGGCGUAUAUUUAAGUUGUUGCAGUUAAAAAGCUCGUAGUUGGAUUUCGGAUUUGGACGACCGGUCCGCCGUUUCGGUGUGCACUGGUCGGCCUUGUCUUUCUGUCGGGGACGCGCUCUCCUUAGUUGGUGACGCGGAGUCGGCGCAGUUACUUUGAAAAAAUUAGAGUGUUCAAGGCAGGCUUACGCUCUGAAUACUAUAGCAUGGAAUAACACGAUAGGACUCCGAGCCUAUUUUGUUGGUCUUCGGGACCGGAGUAAUGAUUAAGAGGGACAGUUGGGGGCAUUCGUAUUCCAAUGUCAGAGGUGAAAUUCUUGGAUUUUUGGAAGACGAACUUCUGCGAAAGCAUUUGCCAAGGAUGUUUUCAUUAA